RNAcentral lists this transfer RNA (67 nucleotides) under Loxodonta africana (African savanna elephant). It matches the Rfam family "tRNA". Rfam says of the family: Transfer RNA (tRNA) molecules are approximately 80 nucleotides in length. Their secondary structure includes four short double-helical elements and three loops (D, anti-codon, and T loops). Further hydrogen bonds mediate the characteristic L-shaped molecular structure. tRNAs have two regions of fundamental functional importance: the anti-codon, which is responsible for specific mRNA codon recognition, and the 3' end, to which the tRNAs corresponding amino acid is attached (by aminoacyl-tRNA synthetases). tRNAs cope with the degeneracy of the genetic code in two manners: having more than one tRNA (with a specific anti-codon) for a particular amino acid; and 'wobble' base-pairing, i.e. permitting non-standard base-pairing at the 3rd anti-codon position. The record is from Rfam by way of RNAcentral. Lineage: Eukaryota; Metazoa; Chordata; Mammalia; Proboscidea; Elephantidae.
GCAGUGGUUCAGUGGUGGAAUUCUUGCCUCCCACGUAGGAGACCUGGGUUCAAUCCCUGGCAAUGCA